CAAGUCAAGGGGGCCCAGCAAUGGGCAACCGGCGAACGGGUGCGUAACACGUGAGCAACCUACCGAACUGUGGGGGAUAGCCGGCCUAACGGCCGAGUAAUACCGCAUACGCUUUCUAAAAGGCAUUUUUUGGAAAGGAAACCUACGGGACAGAUCGAGGGGCUCGCGGCCUAUCAGCUAGUUGGCGAGGUAAUGGCUCACCAAGGCUACGACGGGUAGCUGGUCUGAGAGGAUGGCCAGCCACAUUGGGACUGAGAUACGGCCCAGACUCCUACGGGAGGCAGCAGUGGGGAAUCUUGCGCAAUGGCCUAACGGCUGACGCAGCGACGCCGCGUGUGGGAUGAAGCUCCUCGGAGUGUAAACCACUGUUGCCCGGGACGAAUAGCUCGAUUAGUCGAGCCUGACGGUACCGGGUGAGGAAGCACCGGCUAACUCCGUGCCAGCAGCCGCGGUAAUACGGGGGGUGCGAGCGUUGUCCGGAAUCACUGGGCGUAAAGGGCGCGUAGGUGGUUUGAUAAGGGUGUGGUGAAAGCCCGGGGCUCAACCCCGGGUCUGCCGUGCCGACUGUCAAACUCGAGGGCUGUAGAGGCAGACGGAAUUCCGGGUGUAGCGGUGGAAUGCGUAGAGAUCCGGAGGAAGACCGGUGGCGAAGGCGGUCUGCUGGGUAGUUUCUGACACUGAUGCGCGACAGCGUGGGGAGCAAACAGGAUUAGAUACCCUGGUAGUCCACGCCGUAAACGAUGGGUACUAGGUGCCUGGGGGAGCGACCCUCUGGGUGCCGGCGCUAACGCAGGAAGUACCCCGCCUGGGGAGUACGACCGCAAGGUUGAAACUCAAAGGAAUUGACGGGGGCCCGCACAAGCGGUGGAGCAUGUGGUUUAAUUC
This 885-nucleotide ribosomal RNA is filed under the name uncultured Gemmatimonadota bacterium. RNAcentral describes it as "bacterial SSU rRNA". It matches the Rfam family "Bacterial small subunit ribosomal RNA", at positions 58 to 952 of the family's 1533-position model. The record is from RNAcentral. Lineage: Bacteria; Pseudomonadati; Gemmatimonadota.